UAGUACGAGAGGACCGAGUUGGACUGACCGCUGGUAUAUCAGUUGUUCUGCCAAGGGCAUAGCUGAGUAGCCACGUCGGGACCAGAUAAGCGCUGAAAGCAUCUAAGUGCGAAACUGACCUGAAGAUGAGUAUUCCAUGAAGGGUCCGUGUAGACGACACGGUCGAUAGGCUACAGAUGUAAAGACAGUAAUGUCAAAGUCGAGUAGUACUAAUUACCCGAAAGCUUACCUUU
RNAcentral lists this ribosomal RNA (233 nucleotides) under Cytophagales bacterium. RNAcentral's name for it is "partial 23S ribosomal RNA". It matches the Rfam family "Bacterial large subunit ribosomal RNA", at positions 2679 to 2925 of the family's 2925-position model. Lineage: Bacteria; Pseudomonadati; Bacteroidota; Cytophagia; Cytophagales. The record is from RNAcentral.